CUUUACCUACGGGACGCAGCAGUAGGGAAUAUUGCUCAAUGGGGGAAACCCUGAAGCAGCAACGCCGCGUGGAGGAUGAAGGUUUUCGGAUUGUAAACUCCUUUUGUUAGAGAAGAUAAUGACGGUAUCUAACGAAUAAGCACCGGCUAACUCCGUGCCAGCAGCCGCGGUAAUACGGAGGGUGCAAGCGUUACACGGAAUCACUGGGCGUAAAGAGCGCGUAGGCGGGAUAGCAAGGCAGAUGUGAAAUGCUAUGGCUUAACCAUAGAACUGCAUUUGAAACUGUUAUGCUAGAGUAUGGGAGG
This 305-nucleotide ribosomal RNA is filed under the name uncultured bacterium. Its description in RNAcentral is "bacterial SSU rRNA". It matches the Rfam family "Bacterial small subunit ribosomal RNA", at positions 331 to 655 of the family's 1533-position model. The record is from RNAcentral.